UCUUUAAAAUUUCAUCCAUUUGUAUUAUUAAAAACUAGUAUAACUGACAGAAUAAUUAGACAAUAACACGUGACAUGCCACGUGUACUUCUUACUGAUGUACAGAGACCAGUUUUUAAUAGCAAAAAUGAUGAACUUUUUAAUA
Molecule: microRNA precursor, 144 nt
Organism: Gossypium arboreum
Lineage: Eukaryota; Viridiplantae; Streptophyta; Magnoliopsida; Malvales; Malvaceae
Rfam family: MIR7502 microRNA precursor family
Source: Rfam